ACGAAACUCAGCGGCGAUCUGGCCGUCACGAAUGCGGCGGUCAGUCAGAAAGCUGAGCAAAGCGCUGUCACCGGGUUGACCACCCGGAUGACGUCUGCCGAGGGUAAACUGGAUUCGCAGUCGNCACUAUCGUUAACUGAAUACAUAGGUUAACGAGGCGAACCGGGGGAACUGAAACAUCUAAGUACCCCGAGGAAAAGAAAUCAACCGAGAUUCCCCCAGUAGCGGCGAGCGAACGGGGAGCAGCCCAGAGUCUGAAUCAGCUUGUGUGUUAGUGGAACGGUCUGGAAAGUCCGACGGUACAGGGAGAUAGUCCCGUACACCAAAAUGCACAGGCUGUGAACUCGAAGAGAAGGGCGGGACACGUGGUAUCCUGUCUGAAUAUGGGGGGACCAUCCUCCAAGGCUAAAUACUCCUGACUGACCGAUAGUGAACCAGUACCGUGAGGGAAAGGCGAAAAGAACCCCGGCGAGGGGAGUGAAAAAGAACCUGAAACCGUGUACGUACAAGCAGUGGGAGCACCUUCGGGUGUGACUGCGUACCUUUUGUAUAAUGGGUCAGCGACUUAUAUUCUGUAGCAAGGUUAACCGUAUAGGGGAGCCGCAGGGAAACCGAGUCUUAACUGGGCGUUAAGUUGCAGGGUAUAGACCCGAAACCCGGUGAUCUAGCCAUGGGCAGGUUGAAGGUUGGGUAACACUAACUGGAGGACCGAACCGACUAAUGUUGAAAAAUUAGCGGAUGACUUGUGGCUGGGGGUGAAAGGCCAAUCAAACCGGGAGAUAGCUGGUUCUCCCCGAAAGCUAUUUAGGUAGCGCCUCGUGAACUCAUCUUCGGGGGUAGAGCACUGUUUCGGCUAGGGGGUCAUCCCGACUUACCAACCCGAUGCAAACUACGAAUACCGAAGAAUGUUAUCACGGGAGACACACGGCGGGUGCUAACGUCCGUCGUGAAGAGGGAAACAACCCAGACCGCCAGCUAAGGUCCCAAAGUCAUGGUUAAGUGGGAAACGAUGUGGGAAGGCACAGACAGCCAGGAUGUUGGCUUAGAAGCAGCCAUCAUUUAAAGAAAGCGUAAUAGCUCACUGGUCGAGUCGGCCUGCGCGGAAGAUGUAACGGGGCUAAACCAUGCACCGAAGCUGCGGCAGCGACGCUUAUGCGUUGUUGGGUAGGGGAGCGUUCUGUAAGCCUGCGAAGGUGGCCUGUGAGGGCUGCUGGAGGUAUCAGAAGUGCGAAUGCUGACAUAAGUAACGAUAAAGCGGGUGAAAAGCCCGCUCGCCGGAAGACCAAGGGUUCCUGUCCAACGUUAAUCGGGGCAGGGUGAGUCGACCCCUAAGGCGAGGCCGAAAGGCGUAGUCGAUGGGAAACAGGUUAAUAUUCCUGUACUUGGUGUUACUGCGAAGGGGGGACGGAGAAGGCUAUGUUAGCCGGGCGACGGUUGUCCCGGUUUAAGCAUGUAGGCGGAGGUUCCAGGUAAAUCCGGUACCUUUUAACGCUGAGGUGUGAUGACGAGGCACUACGGUGCUGAAGUAACAAAUGCCCUGCUUCCAGGAAAAGCCUCUAAGCAUCAGGUAACAUUAAAUCGUACCCCAAACCGACACAGGUGGUCAGGUAGAGAAUACCAAGGCGCUUGAGAGAACUCGGGUGAAGGAACUAGGCAAAAUGGUGCCGUAACUUCGGGAGAAGGCACGCUGGUGUGUAGGUGAAGUCCCUGCGGAUGGAGCUGAGACCAGUCGAAGAUACCAGCUGGCUGCAACUGUUUAUUAAAAACACAGCACUGUGCAAACACGAAAGUGGACGUAUACGGUGUGACGCCUGCCCGGUGCCGGAAGGUUAAUUGAUGGGGUUAUCCGUAAGGAGAAGCUCUUGAUCGAAGCCCCGGUAAACGGCGGCCGUAACUAUAACGGUCCUAAGGUAGCGAAAUUCCUUGUCGGGUAAGUUCCGACCUGCACGAAUGGCGUAAUGAUGGCCAGGCUGUCUCCACCCGAGACUCAGUGAAAUUGAACUCGCUGUGAAGAUGCAGUGUACCCGCGGCAAGACGGAAAGACCCCGUGAACCUUUACUAUAGCUUGACACUGAACAUUGAGCCUUGAUGUGUAGGAUAGGUGGGAGGCUUUGAAGCGUGGACGCCAGUCUGCGUGGAGCCAACCUUGAAAUACCACCCUUUAAUGUUUGAUGUUCUAACGUAGGCCCCUGACCGGGGUUGCGGACAGUGUCUGGUGGGUAGUUUGACUGGGGCGGUCUCCUCCCAAAGAGUAACGGAGGAGCACGAAGGUUAGCUAAUCCUGGUCGGACAUCAGGAGGUUAGUGCAAUGGCAUAAGCUAGCUUGACUGCGAGCGUGACGGCGCGAGCAGGUGCGAAAGCAGGUCAUAGUGAUCCGGUGGUUCUGAAUGGAAGGGCCAUCGCUCAACGGAUAAAAGGUACUCCGGGGAUAACAGGCUGAUACCGCCCAAGAGUUCAUAUCGACGGCGGUGUUU
RNAcentral lists this ribosomal RNA (2474 nucleotides) under Klebsiella sp. D5A. RNAcentral describes it as "bacterial LSU rRNA". It matches the Rfam family "Bacterial large subunit ribosomal RNA", at positions 68 to 2519 of the family's 2925-position model. Lineage: Bacteria; Pseudomonadati; Pseudomonadota; Gammaproteobacteria; Enterobacterales; Enterobacteriaceae. The record is from RNAcentral.